This 253-nucleotide ribosomal RNA is filed under the name uncultured bacterium. RNAcentral's name for it is "partial 16S ribosomal RNA". It matches the Rfam family "Bacterial small subunit ribosomal RNA", at positions 524 to 776 of the family's 1533-position model. The record is from RNAcentral.
UACGUAGGGGGCUAGCGUUGUCCGGAAUCAUUGGGCGUAAAGCGCGUGUAGGCGGUCCGGUAAGUCCGCUGUGAAAGUCGGGGGCUCAACCCUCGGAUGCCGGUGGAUACUGUCGGGCUUGAGUACGGAAGAGGCGAGUGGAAUUCCUGGUGUAGCGGUGAAAUGCGCAGAUAUCAGGAGGAACACCAAUUGCGAAGGCAGCUCGCUGGGACGUUACUGACGCUGAGACGCGAAAGCGUGGGGAGCAGACAGG